AUUCUGCCCAAGCGGGGAAGGAUGAGAAGCUUCGACUAAGGUUCGACUCGAGCGCCAGCGAGAGAGCGUUGCCGCAGGCAACGACCCGAAGGGCGAAGCGCGCAGCGCUGAGUAAUCCUUCCCCCA
Molecule: small RNA, 126 nt
Filed under: Escherichia coli
Lineage: Bacteria; Pseudomonadati; Pseudomonadota; Gammaproteobacteria; Enterobacterales; Enterobacteriaceae
Description: partial RtT sRNA
Rfam family: RtT RNA
About the family: This family represents a bacterial cis-regulatory element known as RtT RNA. The exact function of RtT is unknown although it is thought that it may be involved in changing the cellular response in relation to amino acid starvation.
Source: RNAcentral